CCUACGGGGGGCAGCAGUAGGGAAUUUUCCACAAUGGGCGAAAGCCUGAUGGAGCAACGCCGCGUGCAGGAUGAAUGCCUUCGGGUUGUAAACUGCUUUUAUAUGUGACGAUUAUGACGGUAGCAUAUGAAUAAGGAUCGGCUAACUCCGUGCCAGCAGCCGCGGUCAUACGGAGGAUCCAAGCGUUAUCCGGAAUUACUGGGCGUAAAGAGUUGCGUAGGUGGCAUAGUAAGCGAGUAGUGAAAGCGUGUGGCUCAACCAUACUCACAUUAUUCGAACUGCUAAGCUAGAGGGCGAGAGAGGUUACUGGAAUUCCCAGUGUAGGAGUGAAAUCCGCAGAUAUUGGGAGGAACACCGAUGGCGUAGGCAGGUAACUGGCUCGUCCCUGACACUAAGGCACGAAAGCGUGGGGAGCAAACGGGAUUAGAUACCCCUGUAGUC
This 441-nucleotide ribosomal RNA is filed under the name uncultured soil bacterium. RNAcentral describes it as "bacterial SSU rRNA". It matches the Rfam family "Bacterial small subunit ribosomal RNA", at positions 338 to 795 of the family's 1533-position model. The record is from RNAcentral.